CGGCGCGCUGGUCGGUGAGGGGCUGGCACGCGGGCUGACGACACGCCUGACGGCGGUCGCGAUGGCUCGAGCCAACGGUCGCUACGCCGGCGCGCCGA
This 98-nucleotide transfer RNA is filed under the name Halolamina pelagica. RNAcentral describes it as "tRNA-Val". Lineage: Archaea; Methanobacteriati; Methanobacteriota; Halobacteria; Halobacteriales; Haloferacaceae. The record is from RNAcentral.